RNAcentral lists this unclassified non-coding RNA (195 nucleotides) under plant metagenome. RNAcentral describes it as "partial contains small subunit ribosomal RNA, internal transcribed spacer 1, and 5.8S ribosomal RNA". The record is from RNAcentral.
UCUCCGUUGGUAAACCAGCGGAGGGAUCAUUACCGAGUUUACAACUCCCAAACCCCUGUGAACAUACCAUUUGUUGCCUCGGCGGUGCCUGCUUCGGCAGCCCGCCAGAGGACCCAAACCCUUGAUUUUAUACAGUAUCUUCUGAGUAAAUGAUUAAAUAAAUCAAAACUUUCAACAACGGAUCUCUUGGUUCUG